UUUUUUUUUUUUUUUUAUAUAUAUUUUAUUUUUCUUGCUUGUAGUAAGUAAAUUUCUGGGUGGUGCAAUAGAUAAGUAUUUUUUACUCUUUAUCCUUUGGCAUUUUUGCUACUUCAGUUAUAUGUACAUAUUUUGUAGUUUGAAAGGAUAUAUCAGAAUUAAAAUGUGUAUACCAUAUAGGUAUCAGAGGCUUGUUUUCCGUCA
Molecule: unclassified non-coding RNA, 204 nt
Filed under: Hevea brasiliensis (rubber tree)
Lineage: Eukaryota; Viridiplantae; Streptophyta; Magnoliopsida; Malpighiales; Euphorbiaceae
Source: RNAcentral